This is a small nuclear RNA of Ylistrum balloti, 98 nucleotides long. NCBI's taxonomy places the organism in Eukaryota, Metazoa, Mollusca, Bivalvia, Pectinida, Pectinidae. The record is from RefSeq and is a predicted model, not a curated record.
CUGCUUUGGCAGUACAUAUAUUAAAAUUGGAAGGAUAUAAAGAUUAGCAUGGCCCCUGAGCAAGGAGCAUGCAAAUUUGUGAAGCAUUCCAUAUUUUU